Molecule: ribosomal RNA, 448 nt
Filed under: uncultured bacterium
Lineage: Bacteria
Description: partial 16S ribosomal RNA
Rfam family: Bacterial small subunit ribosomal RNA
Source: RNAcentral
AGCGAACGCUGGCGGCAGGCCUAACACAUGCAAGUCGAACGGACCCUCGGGGUUAGUGGCGGACGGGUGAGUAACACGUGGGAACGUGCCUUUAGGUUCGGAAUAGCUCCUGGAAACGGGUGGUAAUGCCGAAUGUGCCCUUCGGGGGAAAGAUUUAUCGCCUUUAGAGCGGCCCGCGUCUGAUUAGCUAGUUGGUGAGGUAAUGGCUCACCAAGGCGACGAUCAGUAGCUGGUCUGAGAGGAUGACCAGCCACACUGGGACUGAGACACGGCCCAGACUCCUACGGGAGGCAGCAGUGGGGAGUCUUGCGCAAUGGGCGAAAGCCUGACGCAGCCAUGCCGCGUGAAUGAUGAAGGUCUUAGGAUUGUAAAAUUCUUUCACCGGGGACGAUAAUGACGGUACCCGGAGAAGAAGCCCCGGCUAACUUCGUGCCAGCCGCCGCAGUAA